CCAUGUGUGUUUUUUGUUUUUAUUUUUAGUUUUUUUUUUCGUUUUCGAAUUUAACGCAAAAUUGCUUUAUUAAUUGACUUGUAUUUCCGCUGGUAGAAAAGUUACAUGCAUGUCUCCUAAAAUUAGGACGUUUUGAAAGAUAGAUAAAAAUAAUAAGAUUAAUAUAUUACUGUUUAUUUUGAUGAAUCAAAAUUUUAAGAUAUUCUAAGAUCCUUAAUUAUUUU
This 224-nucleotide long non-coding RNA is filed under the name Salvia miltiorrhiza (redroot sage). RNAcentral's name for it is "long non-coding RNA (SMIL_LNC001418)". Lineage: Eukaryota; Viridiplantae; Streptophyta; Magnoliopsida; Lamiales; Lamiaceae. The record is from RNAcentral.